UACUCAGCUAUUAAAAA
This 17-nucleotide non-coding RNA is filed under the name Mus musculus (house mouse). Lineage: Eukaryota; Metazoa; Chordata; Mammalia; Rodentia; Muridae. The record is from RNAcentral.